This 70-nucleotide non-coding RNA is filed under the name Carboxydocella thermautotrophica. Lineage: Bacteria; Bacillati; Bacillota; Clostridia; Eubacteriales; Clostridiales Family XVI. Incertae Sedis. The record is from RNAcentral. RNAcentral also lists the same sequence under 1 other name.
AACCGCCGUAUACCGAACGGUACGUACGGUGGUGUGAGAAGACGGGGAUAAUCACCCCCUCCUACUCGAU